Molecule: ribosomal RNA, 253 nt
Filed under: uncultured bacterium
Lineage: Bacteria
Description: partial 16S ribosomal RNA
Rfam family: Bacterial small subunit ribosomal RNA
Source: RNAcentral
GACGAACCGUGCGAACGUUGUUCGGAAUCACUGGGCUUAAAGGGCGCGUAGGCGGGUUUGAAAGUCUGCGGUGAAAUCCUCCAGCUUAACUGGAGAAGUGCCGUGGAUACUGCAAGCCUCGAGGAGGGUAGGGGCAUCUGGAACAGUAGGUGGAGCGGUGAAAUGCGUUGAUAUCUACUGGAACUCCGGUGGCGAAGGCGAGGUGCUGGACCCUUUCUGACGCUGAGGCGCGAAAGCCAGGGGAGCGAACGGG